This 66-nucleotide transfer RNA is filed under the name Japyx solifugus. RNAcentral describes it as "tRNA-Ser". It matches the Rfam family "tRNA". Rfam says of the family: Transfer RNA (tRNA) molecules are approximately 80 nucleotides in length. Their secondary structure includes four short double-helical elements and three loops (D, anti-codon, and T loops). Lineage: Eukaryota; Metazoa; Arthropoda; Diplura; Dicellurata; Japygidae. The record is from RNAcentral.
GAUUGCUUAGCUUAUUAAGCACAUGCCUUGAAAGCAUUAGAUAGAAAAUUACCAUUCUAGUAAUCU